GACGAACGCUGGCGGCGUGCUUAACACAUGCAAGUCGAACGCUGAAGCUUGGUGCUUGCUCUGGGUGGAUGAGUGGCGAACGGGUGAGUAAUAAGUGAGUAACCUGCCCUUGACUCUGGGAUAAGCCUGGGAAACUGGGUCUAAUACUGGAUACGACAUGUUACCGCAUGGUGGUUUGUGGAAAGGGGUUGAUUGGUUAUGGAUGGGUGCACGGCCUAUCAGCUAGUUGGGGGGGUAAUGGCCCACCAAGGCGACGAAGGGUAGCCGGCCUGCGAGUGUGACAGGCCACACUGUGACUGGGAAAGCACCCAGACGGCUACUUGAGGCAGCAGUGGGAAAUUUUGCACGAUGGGCGGAAGCCGUAUGCAGCGACGCCGCGUGGUAAAUGACGGCCUUCAGGUAAGAAACCGCGUGCGGCACGAAAGAAGCGAAAGUGACGGUACGUGCAGAAAAAGCGCCGGCUAACUACGUG
RNAcentral lists this ribosomal RNA (472 nucleotides) under uncultured bacterium. RNAcentral's name for it is "partial 16S ribosomal RNA". It matches the Rfam family "Bacterial small subunit ribosomal RNA", at positions 28 to 507 of the family's 1533-position model. The record is from RNAcentral.